RNAcentral lists this ribosomal RNA (127 nucleotides) under Shigella flexneri. RNAcentral describes it as "partial 23S ribosomal RNA". The stretch from base 1 to 109 matches the Rfam family "Bacterial large subunit ribosomal RNA", at positions 2819 to 2925 of the family's 2925-position model. The record is from RNAcentral. Lineage: Bacteria; Pseudomonadati; Pseudomonadota; Gammaproteobacteria; Enterobacterales; Enterobacteriaceae.
CUUUAAGGUCCUGAAGGAACGUUGAAGACGACGACGUUGAUAGGCCGGGUGUGUAAGCGCAGCGAUGCGUUGAGCUAACCGGUACUAAUGAACCGUGAGGCUUAACCUUACAACGCCGAAGGUGUUU